Molecule: ribosomal RNA, 395 nt
Filed under: uncultured Oscillospiraceae bacterium
Lineage: Bacteria; Bacillati; Bacillota; Clostridia; Eubacteriales; Oscillospiraceae
Description: bacterial SSU rRNA
Rfam family: Bacterial small subunit ribosomal RNA
Source: RNAcentral
UGAGGAAUAUUGGUCAAUGGGCGAAAGCCUGAACCAGCCAUGCCGCGUGAAGGAAUAAGGCCCUAUGGGUCGUAAACUUCUUUUGUAUCGGAGCAAUAAGGGCCACGAGUGGUCCGAUGAGAUUACGAUACGAAUAAGCCACGGCUAACUACGUGCCAGCAGCCGCGGUAAUACGUAGGUGGCAAGCGUUGUCCGGAUUUACUGGGUGUAAAGGGCGUGCAGCCGGGAAUGCAAGUCAGAUGUGAAAUCCAUGGGCUUAACCCAUGAACUGCAUUUGAAACUGUAUUUCUUGAGUACUGGAGAGGCAAUCGGAAUUCCUAGUGUAGCGGUGAAAUGCGUAGAUAUUAGGAGGAACACCAGUGGCGAAGGCGGAUUGCUGGACAGCAACUGACGGU